RNAcentral lists this long non-coding RNA (776 nucleotides) under Apteryx owenii (little spotted kiwi). RNAcentral's name for it is "lncRNA (ENSAOWG00000015729.1)". Lineage: Eukaryota; Metazoa; Chordata; Aves; Apterygiformes; Apterygidae. The record is from RNAcentral.
GGUGAGGCAAAUGCUCAUCAGGCGCUAUGGAAUCAGGUGUUUUUUUUUCUUACAGAAAACUUGCACUCUGAAUUUGACAAAGCUGCUCUGAGCUGGCACUUGUAAUACCCCAGGAGACAGGAUUUUAUAUGAUUUGACUGGAACCAAUAGGUCUAGAGAUGCCCCAGUCUAUUUGCCGUUCCUCAGUCACCUCGGAAGCUCGCCACUUUACUACUGGAACUUCACUCAGGGUGCAGACUUUGUCCCCAAAAGAGUCUGUGUGAUGGGCUGGGUACACAAUGCUCCAUUGUUUUGAGCUCCUCCAAACUCUAUGCUGUAAUCCAGAAGUUAGUGUUUUCAGGAUCCAUGUGUGAGUGGAAUGUCCUGCUCUGUGGCUGCCAUAUUCUCUUGUCGUUUGUACAGCCUUUUGCUUGUCUUCAUUACGAACAGUGACUGUGGCUACGCAGUCAUCUGUAUUUAGAGAAAUUUUUUUUGAGUCUGUAAGUUCUCCACUUAAGAAAUAUAUUAGGGCUGAAGGUCAAAGGAAGAAGACAUUAAACCUUUGCUCACUUAUGGCAAUUACUCUGGAGACAACCACUGCUUGGAAAACAAGUAUUAUGAGCUACCUUUUCCCUCUAGGGAGAAGAAGAGAGAAGGAAAAGGCUGCAUGUGACAGAUGCUAAUUAUGCAGCUUAAUGCACUUCUGGAAGUUGCAGUGAUGAAAACUAUAUAAGAACUGUUGGAUUUCUCCUUAGGGAGGUGUGACUUAACAACAUUGCCAGCAACUCUCUCUGUGU